Non-coding RNA from Gossypium hirsutum (cotton), 141 nucleotides. Lineage: Eukaryota; Viridiplantae; Streptophyta; Magnoliopsida; Malvales; Malvaceae. The record is from Rfam.
UAUUAAAAAUUUCAUUCAUUUCUACUAUUAAAAAUUGUUGUGAUAGAUAGAAUAACCAAACAGUUAGAUGUGAUGUGCCACAUAUACUUCAAGUUGUAAAAGGCCAGUUUCUAACAUUAAAAAUGGAUGAAAUUUUUAAUA